CGGCCCUCAGGCCCGCCUCCUCCGCCCUACCUUGGUCCGGAUCUGCCCCGAGCAGGGGCAACGCCGAUCCCUGGGGAAGAAUGGGAACCUGGAGCUUCCUCCCAGCACCCUUGGGUGCACCCGCCACCUCCUGAACCCCGAAUCUCUCCAGAGACACUUGGGCCUCGCCGCGCGGUUCCAGCUGAAUAAAAGUCCCCUCUGCCACCAAGACAGUCGGGGGCUGCCCCUCGUCGGUUUCCCCACCCCCAGCCCCACUCCGAGGACCGUACCUCUCCCGCCUCCGCCAGGGCCGUCGGGUCCCCUCAGCUCUCCUGACGGCGGCGUUCAGUUUCUGGCCCACCCCCACCCCCAUCCGGCGCACACGGAAGAGAAGAGCAUUUUCCGGGAGGUUCAGCUCCGCUCUGAGAACUUUUCGUUCAGAAAGAGCGAUCCCCUUCGGCUAACAGGAAACUGGGAAGGGCGUGGAGAAAGCGCAGAAACAAGAGACUACACGCAGCCCAAGACGACAGAACGCACAAGAAGUGUCUAAGCUGAAGCGCUAACCGAGAUUGCCUGGAAGAAAACAAUACACUCGAGCCAUGCGAACACCAGUACCCGAGACAAAAAGCCUUGGAAGUCCUGGCAGAGCCACUCCCUAGCCCGGACUAGAGCAGGAGGAAGUGGGAUCAACAGGCUGUAGCCACCGCGCACAACUCCCCUGCAAGCUGGCUGCGCGGGCACUUGGGAACCGCGGACUGGCAGCGGGUUGUGCACGCUCAACGUCAAAGAAGCCUCACAGGUGUGAGGGGGCUGCGGUGAGGGGGCUGCGAGAGAAGACAUUAAAACGACAGAUCCCUCUUGUCAUCCAAAGAGAACACCAAACUGGUGUUAGCUAUAUUUUUAAAUAGGACAAAAAGUCCCUGCCAGACUGUGGAGUCUCUCCACCUGGAGAAAGCAUUCAAUCUCUGUUAUGUUCAUGCCUUUCAGUACCAUUCCUUUCGUAUUUUUUCAGUUGACAUGACCUUUAAGGUUCCUCCAAACUAAGGUUCUAAUUUUUUUUUUUAACUUGCAGUCUUACUCCCAACAAGAAAUUUGAUAUAUUAGAGCUAACAGUUCUAAGAAGUUUUAAGAAAUAGUAUGCAAUCCCAAUACUGGACAUCACACUGUAAAUUAAAUUCAUUAAAAUGUAAAAUGUGUUUAGUUCAAAUAUUUAAAGACAGGAGACUGCUGCUAUGUAAUAAUAACAGAGAGGCUAUUUCUGCAGCUUCUGUUGUCUCCUUUAGGAAAGGAAGGAGUUGGGCAAAAUGAAUUUUAAGAACGCUUAGAACUCUACAAAUAUGUAAUUCUUUAUCUACAAAGAACAUAUUUCUGGAAAUUCUUAAAAGAGAAAAAUAAUCAAAAUAAUGGCCUUCAUUCCCACCUGUUUGGUCAUGGACAAGUCCAAUAUUUUGGAAAUGUAGACAAGGACACCUAGUAAAGGGUCUUUUGAAAGAAUAAACUUAGUUUAGUCUUCUCCUUUAAUGUAAAGAAACUAAGGCCCCAACUGACAAACUGAGACCAAAGUCAAAAUCAUGCGGUUAGUAUUCUAAUGUUCUAUUCACUUUAUCACACUGUAUAACAAAAGUCUGUCAGUUACCAUAUACUUCUAUUCAUACAUUAUGUGUUUUAUAUAGCAACAUUUUCCAGAAUCCAGGCAGCGAGUGAUUAAACUGAAAGGCAUUAUCUAAUGCCCAGCCUGAUUUUGUGAUUUUAACAGGUCAGAUUACGCAUCUCACUCUUUGAUUUGAACACUGAUUGCUUAAAGAUACUUAAAAAGUUUCAUAUCCCAGAGCUGAGCCAUUUAAUACCUCAAAGUAAAGGUAUUCCUUUCUCAUAAAGAUUUAACCUCAGAGCCAGCUUUGCACUUCUGCAAUCACCUCUUCUGAAGAGCCAGUUUCAACGAAUCCAUUAUUUAAGAUACCUGACUUACUAGCCUCUUCUCGGUCUUAUCUGUAAAUUAGAAGUUUUUAGAAUGAAUAUCUAAUUUGUGCACUGUGUACCUGCAAUGUACUUCACCUUCCUCAAGAGUAUUACAAGGUCAAGGUCUCAAUCUUUCCAACCAUUUCAACCAUGUAGCUCAAAAUAGCAACUGAAACAAUUUCAAAUAUGUGGUAUCUUACAUUAUUUAUUUGAUUUAUAAGAAUUCCUUGAUCUUUUCCUUACUUAGUGAUUUCAGAUUUUUCAGUAAUUGCUUAGAUGCAUCUUACAUUUUUAUUGUUACUUUGAAAUCUCUGUUCAGAACAUGUGACAAACACACUAUUAAAGACUUCAACAUAAGCUGUGUAGACACUGCAUUUAGGGUGAAAUGGAAAUAGGUGGUAGCUACCCCUAAAUUAGGUUUUUACUUAAUAGAGAUCCUGGCCCAUUAAAACAAAGAACACCUAUUAGACUGAAGAUGUGUAAGUCACAGCCAAAUUUCAUGUCAACUUUAUGAAUAUUCGUGUAUUAUUUUCUACAGAGGUAUUUUGAAUUGUAUUUUUACUGAUCACUACUCAUAACAAAAGGGGUUUUAUACCCAUUGGCAACUUUCAAAUCUCACAUAUUCUAUGGCUUUAUCUUAAAUAUUACGCCAUAAAUACGCAGAAUGUUACAUUUUAUAUCCUGAAGAGUUCAAAGUGUUCUAGGACUUGUGUUCCUAAUCAAUAAGGAACCAUGCAAAGAAUACUGCAGGUUGACCAAGUACAGGCAUUGAGAAGCUGCCUUAAUUAAAACUUAAGAACACGCUAUUUGCUACAUAUUAAGAAUUUAACAUUCGAAACUUUUAACCUAUUACCAUUUCCUUAGUUGUUACCUGAAUGAAAAAGAUUUGGGGAUUAACUGUGAUAUUAACUGCAUAUACAUAUGGUCAUCCUCGUAUCUGAGGCAAAAACCUUUCAUCAUCUAGACCUAAUGCAAAGAUGUUUAUAACCUCUCAUUUACAUUUUGGCCCUAUCCUUUGAAACUCUUUCCUUCCUAAUUUUCCUUUCGACCUGGAUAGUUUUAUCAGCGCUAACUAGUAUAAAACCAUUUCAAAAUAAAGCAAAUUUUUUUUCUUUUUUUAGAGACAAAGUCUUGCUCUUUUGCCCAGGCUGGAGUGCAAUGGCCAAUCACAGCUCACUGCGUCCUUAAACUCUGGGCUCAAAGGCUCCUCUGGCAUCAGCCUCCCAGGGUAGUCACAGGAUACCUGGGACUACAGACAUGCAUCACCAGUCCUAGCUAGUUUUGUUGUGGUUGUUGUUAUUUAGACAUCAUCUCCCCCUGGUCAUCUUCCCCAGGAUGGUCUCAAACUCCUGGCCUCAAGAGAUCCUCCCACUUCGGCCUCCCAAAGUGUUGGGAUUACAGGCAUGAGCCACAGCACCAAAAGCAAAUUUUAAUAAGUGUACUCUAGCAUCCCCCAACUAAGGACUACUUUGUAAAUACUUCCACAUUUUUGAAGUGUUGGCUAGAAUUCUAACUACCUAUUUUCCCCCCAGUAAGGCUUGUUUGGCUAAAUAUCUUUCUACCCAUCCAUGCCCACCACUAAAGUAUUUUUUAAUUGAUUAGAAAUUUAGUUUAUGCCUCUAUUUCCACUGAAAUUUGAUUGCAUUUCAAAGCUAGCAUUAAAGAAAAUACACAGAAACUUAGAAUGCUAAAAUUUAUCUUCUUUAGGCCCAAUGACUUCCCCAGAAUGCUAAGGCUGAUCGUUUAUUUAAAUGGUUCGCUUAACUAACUUCAGUUCAUCUCCCAAUCGUGUCGUAAAGUUCAGCAACAGCUCAACAUGGCUGCGUUUUAAGAAAGAAGUGCUGGGGCGGGCGCAGUGGCUCACUCCUGUAAUCCCAAAACUUUGGGAGGCCAAGGCGAACGGAUCACGAGGUCAGGAGAUCGAGACCAUCCUGGCUAACAAGGUGAAACCCCGUGUCUACUAAAAAUACAAAGAAUUAGCCAGGCAUGGUGGCACGCGCCUGUAAUCCCAGCUACUUGGGAGGCUGAGGCAGGAGAAUCCAGGAGGCGGAGGUUGCAGUGAGCCAAGAUGGCGCCACUGCACUCCAGCCUGGGCAACAGAGUGAGUCUGUCUCAAAAAAAAAAGAAGAAGAAAAAGAAAAAAAAGAAAGAAGUGCUGUUCUCUUUACUGUUUGUCAGCAUCAAUUCCUGAUACUGUGUUUACUCUUCUGCCUGAAUAGUUCCACGCAGAAUCACACCAUCAUGUUUUAGGUUCCAUCAAAAAUGAAUGAGGAGAGGCCAGGUGCAGUGGCUCAUGCCAGUAAUCCCAGCACGUUAGGAGGCUGAGGUAGGAGAAUUGCUUGAGCCCAGGAGGCAAAGGUUGCAGUGAGCUGAGAAUCAGGCCCCUGCACUCCAGCCUGGGUGACACAGUGAGACACUGCCUCAAACAAUGAGGAGAGUAAAUGGUUACAUGCAUGCUAUUGUUAUAUGUACAUGCCCUUAUGUUAUCCCAUAAGGGAUAAUGCAACAGGAUCUGUUCAUUAUUGAACAGAAUGAAUAUUAAGCGUAUUCAAUAUUGUUCAGUAUUGAACAUUCCUUUUCAUAAAUGUAAAUGAGCAUACUUUUAUGGUAAAGCAUUAAGUUGCCUAUAUUUGAAUUUAAAAAGCAAAUUUUACAUAACUCUGACCUGUAAUCCUAGCUCUUUGGGAUGCCAUGUCAGGAGGAUCUCUUAAGGCCACAAGUUUGAGACCAGCCUGGGCAGAUCCCACCUCUACAAAAAAAAUCCAAAAUGAGCCCAGCAUGGUGGCAUGUGCCUGUAGUCCUAGCUACUCAGGAGGCUGAGACGGGAGGAUCCCUCCUGGCUGCAGUGAGCUACGAUCAUACCACUGCACUCCAGCCUGGGCAACACAGCAAGCCCCUGUCUCAAAAAAAACAAAACAAAAAAGUUUUUAAAUUAAAAAAAAACUUUGAAAUGGAGUCCAAGUCAAAGCAGGUAUUCCUAACCUGAGGUCUUUGAGGAUCCACAGAUUGGUCUUAAAGAAAUCUGUGGUACUCUUGAAAUUGUAUUAAAAUGUUUUACAUAUAUAUAUACACACACACAUCAAUACAUAUAUAAAGCAUAUGUAUGUAACAUAUAUGUCACAUAAGUGCAUGUUUGAGGGAAAAAGGGUCCAUAGCUUUGAUCAGAUUCUUAAAGGGAUUGCUGACCCCAAAAAAGGUCACAAAUCCCCAAUUUUGAUGGAUUUUGUGUCCCUUCAAAACAUAUUUAAUCUGUCUCUCCACCCCCUUUUCCCCUUGCUCCAAAUGCCUGAAAGGUUUAACAUUUAAACACUACUUUUUUCCCUAAUGUAUCCCACAUUUAUCUUUAUAUGCCACUUUUUAGUAAUUUGGAUAAAUUGUCUUUUUUAAGAAGUUAAAUGAAAAUUCCCUUCAUUAGUUCUUCGAUGGACUUGGUGAUAUCUGUACGACCACAGGGUUUAGAAUAAAGUCGCUUGUAAAAAGUAUUAUUUUAUGCCACAUAGCCAUGAUCUCUGAAUGUAUUUUUUGUGACUUUCUGAUUGUAAACCAUUAACAUAUACGAAACAAGACAUUCUGUUUAGUUAAGAACGUUAGCUUUCUGAGGUCAAGGAUCUGUUUCUCUGUUGUUGGUAACUGCUAUCCAACAGUCCCGGAACAUAAUAGGUGCGGAAUGAAAAUAGGUGCAGAGCAAAUGAAAAGGCCUUCAGUGUUUAAAGAAAAUAAACCUAAUUUUUAAAAGAUGGCUCUGCAGUCUGAAUAAAGUAUUGUAGUCCAUUCACACAUUUAUGUUAGGGCUCUAGUUUUAGAGGCUCCAGUGCUAAGACUGGAAACUGAAUAUUUUCUGUGGAAAAUAAAUGAGCAUUUUACUUGUCACUUUUGAGAAGAAAAAAAAAUUAUCUAAUUUUCUAAAUGUUAAGUAGUUCCGACAUCAGCAGCCUAAAGCAAAACACAUACACCCGGAUAUUUCCAUUGUGAUUGGUGUUGGCUUAAAGUAUGCAGGUUCCUACAGGAAAGUUUAAAAGUAAAGUCACUGAAUUUAGUUCUCAAUGAUCUUUGAUUUAAACUUCAAAACUGGAUUGUAUUUUUAAUUUGGAGACUAGCUUAAGCCCCUGUGAUAACCACAAUGGAAGAAACAAGAGCAGAUGGGCAACCUGACGACAUGUUCAAAUUCACGAAAGCAAAGACAGCUGCAGAUGCAGAGGGAUCAGAGUCGAAGGACGCUUCUGAAAGGUCAGGAAUCAGGCCGAGAAACGUACUCUGGGCAAAGGAGGUACUCUGGGCAAAGGAGCUGAGAGCGUAUAUACUAGAAAAGAAAAAGGACAGCCAACCCUGGCACCUGACCUAGCGGCUCUCAACAGGCAGAGGGCCGGCCUGAGCAGACUCGGAGAGUCCCUGGGAAAACAGCAUCCGAACACGUUGACCGGAACAUGGGUGAGGCCAGAAAUUUCGGACGGGGCUUUUCAGACUGGCUCACAAUGUCAACCAAGAAGGAGUAGCAAAUAUCGAGGCAGGGCGUGGAGAGUCAAAAUUCGACGCCAGGGAAAAGGCAGCCCACACAGGCUUCCAGAGCUCUGAGUGAGAGGGGGAUUCCGGGGUGGAAUCCCUGGAGGGAUGUGAGACGGUUCUGUUUGAAUCGGAAGAGAGAAGGAAGUUGAGGGAGUUUGAGGGAACAAAUCCAAAGCCCCCUGGUCUCUUCCUCCUUAUCCUCGCACACUUAAGACACGCACACACACUACUCUUGGUUCCUAAAAUUACUCAACCUCCGCGUUGCGUGUGCAGCGAAAUCCCAGGCGAAAGCGAAGUCAGCUUUCUGCUUCGUCCCCGGCAAAACCCGUUGCACCCUCCAGACGCCCAAGCUUUAGCGGCUGGCAGGAGUCGGAGGCGUGGUUCUGGGCUCCGCGCCGCGCUCAGCCUCUCCAGGCGCGUGUCCCCGGGAACCUGCGCGCCCAGGUGACGACCAGGGCGCGGUCUCGACAGGGAAAACCGGGCUCCUCAGACUCCCCACGCUGACCGCGCAGCCUGGCUUCUCCUCUCCCCCGCCUACAUUCCACGGUCUCAAAGCAAGUGAAAAGUUGAGGAGUCGGUGAAGCCGGGAAACGGUCCUCGCAGGGCCGUCGCCAGCGGUUUGCCAGCGGUUCCUCGGGGAGAGCCUCGAUCAGCCGGACAAAGGCGCUCCAGGCGGCGCGCGAGGAGGAGCCCGGGCGGCGGAGGAAGCGCUAACCCGGCUGGGAAGCAGCUGGGGACCUCAUCCCGGG
This 7190-nucleotide long non-coding RNA is filed under the name Homo sapiens (human). RNAcentral's name for it is "HSALNT0200609". Lineage: Eukaryota; Metazoa; Chordata; Mammalia; Primates; Hominidae. The record is from RNAcentral.